This 7456-nucleotide long non-coding RNA is filed under the name Pan troglodytes (chimpanzee). Its description in RNAcentral is "long non-coding RNA NONPTRT008462". Lineage: Eukaryota; Metazoa; Chordata; Mammalia; Primates; Hominidae. The record is from RNAcentral.
GCCUGCAAGAACCUUUAUAGCGCAGCUCUCCUUAUCUUGGAGGCAAGGACAUUCUAUGUGCCCGCCCUGGAAAGGCCUGAACCUAUAACAUCUGGGCUGUGAUGGUUUCUGAGGUGGACACCAGGACCAACACUUGUCAGCAUGGCACAAUCAGGCAUUUCUCUUCUAAGUAGGAUGUGCAGCCAAAAAACUCAGCUGUCUGUGAGCUGUCUUCUCCCAGGAACGAGGACAUAAGAUGUACAUCAGGUCUGAACUGCACAGAUCCACUUACAUGUGGAUUUUCUUCCACUGCGGCCUCUCCUGAGACAGCAAGACCAACCCCUCCUUUUCAUCCUCCUCCUCCUCCUCAGCCUACUCAACAUGAAAAUGACAAGGAUGAAACCUUUAUGAUGAUCCACUCAUCCAUUUUCUUUUCUCUAGCUUAUUGUGAACAUCUUAGGCUAGUGUGUCGACUUCUGACUUGGCUCAUCUGAACCCAAGACCUUGGACACAUUCACAAACACCCCAGGGUCUUGGGCUUCCAGUUUGCUUUAGAAGGACAAAGGGCAGGUCAAGCUUGUUUGCCAUAACUAGAAGGAGCAGAAACUGCUCCCAGCAGAACAAGAUCAAAUCAUGGGGAAGAGUGGUCACCUGCCAUUUCUAGAGGAAGCUUUUGCUUUUGGUCACUGAGGACCCUAAGUCUUACAUGAGAAGAAAACAAAUAGGGUGAUGCUGCAUGCUUCUGUCCCCAAAGAAUCCCUGUGCAGGUGCCGAGGGUGCCCCAAAGACGAGGCUGUGCUUGCCGUGCCCACCACAGAAGCACAUUUGACCUGAUCAAAAGCAGAUGGAAAAGGUCCUGAAGCACAGAUAUUUUCUCAGUGAUGUUGUUUUCUCCAAAAUGAAAGAGGGAAGGUACCCUGGCUUAGGCCCCUGGUGUUCUGAUUGAAGGUGAGAAUAGAAGUAUCUUCUUCAACGUGUUCUCCCAUCUGACUGCAACAAGUGUGCUCCAGCCACCAGUGUCCCAGUUGCUCUGAAUGAUGGUGAGAAGGGUACCCAAACACUUGAAUGGUACUGUACCCUCUACUUGCCAUCUGAAUCCUCACUUGUGGAACCCAGGCACUCUGGCUGUAUUCGCGAGUAAGCAUAGGUGUGGGACUGUGUCCUGCCAUUGCACCAUCUUUAAUCUGGACUUGUGGACCUCAGGCUCUCUGACUAUUCAUGGACAGAAGUUUCUGCAGGCACAGGUGGUGUGCUGUUUCCUCCCAUUGUACACCUGAAUUCUGGACUUGUGGACCCCAGGUGUUCUGGCUGUGUUCAUGAACAGAAGUGUCCCCCCCAAACAAACCCAUAUAUGGUGCCAUCUCCUCCCAUUACAGGUAUGGUGCCAUCUCCUCCCAUUGCAGGCAUUGCACUGCCUAUACUCUGGACUUAUGGCCCUCACAUGCUCUGAUUGUAUUCAUAAACAGUAGUUUCUUCAGUCACAGAUAUGGCACCAGCCCCUCCAACAGAAACAGAUGUGCUCAAGCUGAGUGGUCCAAAGGCGUUUGACAGAAGUCAUGAACAGAAGUAUCUUGGGGCACAUGUUUCUUCUCUGUUGUGCAGGCUUCUCCAGCAGUAACAGGUUUGCCCAGGCCAUAUGGGCCCCAAGUGCUCUGACCAGACACAAGAAGAGAAGACUUUCAGUCACAGGUAGUGUGUUGUCCCCUGCUACUGCAACAUAGGUGCUUGGAAAGGUGCAACAGGGUGCUCUGCUUGUGGUGGAAACAUAAAGGCCUCCAAGCAUAGAUGUGCUGCUUUCUCCCUCCCUUUGAGGGAUGCAGAUGUGCUCUGGCCAGCUGCGUUCCAGGUGGUCUGUCUGCAAGACAGAAGUGUCCCAAGCACUGGUAUGUGCGGGCUCCUCCAACCACAACAGACGUGCUUUGGCCAGAUGGUUUCCAGGUGUUAUGAACACAAGAAGGAACAGAGGUGCCUUCUGGAACAUGUUUCUUCUCAGUGAUGUUCUAAGAGGUGUGCUUUGGCAGGACAGGCCCCAGCUGCUCUGACUGUAGGCAGGGAGGAAAGUGUUUCCCAGGAGUUUUUGCUUUCAGUAGUACUGCCCUCUCCAACUGUACCAGAGGUGCUGUAGGCUUGCAGGAACCCCGGUGCUCAUGUGUAAGCCUCCCCAGCAUAAACUAAGGUGCUGCAUGCCCCUCUAGGCCCUGUUCUAAAGCUGAGUGCUUCAGAUGUGGAGCUGGGUCUGGGGCAGACACACUGGUCCUAGAGCUGUCAUUAUCCAAAGAAGCCCCAGAGUCCAUGAAUGGAAAUGGGUCGGGAGAGGGGUUAGCAAAAGGUGAACUGUGCCUGAUGCUGAGCAUCCAGUGAUGGCUCCAGAGCUAGAAGUAGUGGCUGUGCAAAUGGGAAAAGGACCCGAGGUGCUACCCAAGGUUGAGUGGGUGCUAGCAGAGAUAUCAAAGAUGGAUAUGGAGGUAGCACCUACGCAAAAUCUGAUGGCAUUAUGCUCCCAUUGGGUGUCUGGGCUGCAGUAAAGGCUCAGUUUAGAGCUUGCACUGAGAUUUUACGUUUCUCAAAGGGUAAAUGCUAUCAAAUACAUCGGGGGAUCCUGCCAGGGGGAGGCUAGAAAGAGGACAUGGUAACCAUAUUGAUUUCAUCAGAGUUAAAGGCAGACUUGGCUGCCCAGUUGGUCAAGGUCCUAGCUACUAGAAAACAGACAAUUGCUGAAGUAGUGAUAAGUAUGAUGGUGCAGACAGGUAUCCUAGAAGACUGACUCUUUGCUGCUGCCCUUUAGGAGCUCCAAAUGUGACUGAGAGGUGGCUUCUGGGCUAAAGGAAAGGUUCAAAGUGGGGUAGGGCUGUUUACCAUAAACAUAGGUGGGUUAGUGGAGACUGCCUUUUGCAGGGGGCUGUCCACUCCACACUGCAAUGAGCCAGUCAAAUGGGAGUUCCAAGACCAGAGGAAACCUAGCCCAGAGCUUGAGUCUUCCAGGCUAACCCUGGGUCCUGGGGGGACCAGGAGAUGAGACCCAGGGAAUAGUAGUGUCCAUGUCGGUCAUCUCAAAAGUUCAAAGCAGGCUGGGAGGUCAAGUCUGCAGAUGGGCUGACUGGGCAGUGGAAGUGAUAAGGUUGGCCAGUUAAUGAUGGGUUGAUAUAUUCAUCUGUUUUCACACUGCUAUGAAGAACUAUGUGGGGCUGGGUAAUUUAUAAACAAAAGAGGUUUAAUUAACUCACAGUUCCACAUAGCUGGGAGGCCACAGGAAACUUACAGUCAUGGCAGAAGGCAAAGGGGAAGCAAGGCAUUUCUUACUUGUUGGCAGGAGAGAGUGCAGAGGAAACUGCCACUUAUAAACCGUCAGAUCUCAUGAGAAUUCCCUCACUAUCAUGAGAACAGCAUGUGGGAGACCACCCCUACAAUCCAGUCACCUCCCACCAAGUCCCUCCCUCCACACAUGGGAAUUACAAUUCAGAUUACAAUUCAAAAUGAGAUUUGGGUGGGGACAUAGAGCCAAACCAUAUCAGUUAGUCAGUGAAGACUGAGGUAUCUGUAGAAGUGAGGGAGGAGCACAGUGGUCUGGAUGAACCAGUGGGGUGAUAGUCAGGGUACUGGCAUUCAGUGAGCCUGGGGGAGAAGCUUCCUAAAAGCAUUGCCCUUGAAAAGCAGGGCAUACCUAUCUGAUACUGAGGAUGUAGAAUGCAGUUUGGAGAUGCUUCCUAGCUACCUAAUCUUCCAAGGCAAACCAUGCACUCUUCAUCCUGAUAUUUGUGAUGCCUCCCUGGGCUACAUGAUAGAGGGUGCACUGCAAAGGAUGUGAAGGAAAGUCACCACAGGGCAAAGGUGGAAACCCAGGGGCCUUUCCCCAGUGAGACUUUCUGGCUGUUCCUUUGGAACUUCCACCUGCUAGUUGCAGAUGUUUGCCACUGGAUGGGGCCCCAUGCUACGUGGGAACUGUUCAGGACUGUGGGUACUUAGUUCCAGCAGAGUUGGCUCCACCAGGGCACCAGGACUGCAGGCUUCUCAACUCCUGGCCUGGAGAGGCAGCUUCAGCAACCAGUGCCUGGGAAUCCACUAGCCCUUUCUCUGUGAGUCACGUGAGGGCAGAAUCUGCUCAAAGUCAGAGGGCUGGAGCAACCUGGAUUAUUGCCAGAGUGAGGGCCCAGCUCACUGGAGGUCAGAGUAAGAGAGUCAAGGAUGGGAAGAAACAGGGUUUUGCUCAGUCUUGCAGAUACUGAGGCACUCAGGAGGCUCAGGAUGGCAGCAACAGGGCAUGUGCUAAGGUGGGGAAGGAGUGACCAAGUGGCAUGGGUGCAACUUACCCCAGCCUCUUCCUUUUAGGCAGCCACCACAGAGGACAUCUGUUUACCUCUGUACCCUACCCCACCUCCAUGCUGGUAGAUAUAGUCUGGGGAUACCUUUAAAACAAACAAACAAACAAACAAACAAAACAGGAUCUGUCUAUCACCUGUCCAAAUCCUGAAGCAAAAUGAGCCUUCUUUAUGGCCACCUUGGAAAGGCCUGAGUCCCCAGCAUCACCUGGGAUACAAAGUGUUCUGAGGUGAGGGCAGAGUGCCCUCCUGCCCAGAUGCCACACUCCACAAUAUCUCUUCCUGGCAGACAGGUUUCUCUUAACUUCCUUUGGCAAAUUUGGUUUCACUUCCUUUUGCAACUUUAGAACCUUUCUCAGGUCGGUCAUAAGGUAGUGGAGAAGCCAGGAUUUGAACCCAUUCUGUCUGAUUCCAGAGCUCAUGCAUUAACCACCUGACUGUGGUGCCUCCCCAUCAUAUGUGCAUCAAGUAUGAUCAUUUUUGUAGUUCUCAGAGUACUUAGCACCAUGCACAUCUGUAAUAAGUACAGCCACUGCCUACUGGGAGGUCUAAAGGUUCAACUCAUAAGGGACCCACAGGCCACACUGGGCUCUAGUCUCCUUAAAAGAUGUGGGACGGAGAUCAACAAUUGUCAGCAGAACCCCAUCAGGCAUCUGUCUUCUCAUUGAGCCUUGCAGCAAACCACACAGCUGUCUAUAACCUAUCUGUUCUCAGAUGCAAGAACACAAGCUGCUCAUCAGUUGGGUGCAGGAUCCACUCUAGUACAAAAGCUGUGUGUCUCAAGGCAUAAUUCCUUAUGAUUACUUCAUAGCUCUGCUUUUGCCUUGAGACAAAAGAAAUUUCCUUCAAUUCCUACUUUUGCUGAGAUAUUGUUUUUUGAAAAUCAAUUAAAUCUUGUCAAUCACUUUUCCCACCUCUUUGAGAUACUUACAUGGCUUUUCUUCUUUAUUCUCUUAGUGUGGUAAAUUACACUGAUUGAUUUUAAAUAUGAAACCAGCCUUGAAUUCCAGGAACAAACUCCAUUUGGGCAUGCUAGAACAACCUUUUAUAUUUGGUUAGAUUUGAUUUCCUGAAGUGGUGUUAAAAGAUUUUCAUAUCUAUGUCCGUGAGGGAUAUUAAUCUGUACAUUUUUUAUUACUAUUUUCUGGUGUUAUGGUAAUGCUAGUCUCAUAGAAUGAAUUAGGAAAAGUUGCCUCCUUCUGUAUUUUCUGAGAGUUUGUGUGGCACUGGUAAAAUAUUUUCUGUAUAUGUUUGACAUAAUUCACCAGGAAAAUUAUUUGUACCUACAAGUUCCCUCCUGGAAAGAUGUUGAUAAUCACUUAUUAUCCUUUCAUUGUCUGCCAGAUCUGUGGCAUUGCUUUUUUCUCUGGUAUUAGUAAUUUAAAUUUUCCCUUAUUUCUUGAUCAAUUUUGGCAGACAUUUAUCAAUUUUAUUAAUCCCUUUAAAAAAUCUGUAUUUAGCUUUGUUAAUUUUCUCUAUUACAUACUUUUUAUUUCUACUCUUACGAUUACUAUUUCUUUAUUUCUCCUUUGGAUUUAGCCCAUUUUUCUAUUUGUCUAAUUUUAGGAUUUAAAAUUCAAUCAUUAUUUUUAGAUAUUUUUAUUUUUAAAUAUAAACUCUAAAGUUGCAAUAUUACCUUGGGCACUGUUUUGACUGCAUUCCACAAGUUUUUAUUUGUCAUGUUUUAAUCACCAUUCAGUUCAAAAUACUUUCUAAUGCUCCUUGUUAUUUCUUCUUUGACCCAUUGGUUAUAUAAAAGUAUGUUUUGCUUUAUUUCUAAAUAUGUGAAGACUUUCUAGAUAUCUCAGUUAUUUAUUACUAAUUUAAUUUUAUUGUAGCCAGAGAAAAUACACUGUAUGUGUUCAAUCUUUGGAAAUUUCUUGAGACUUAUUUUUUGACCCAGUAUGUUUGCCCUCAUGAACAUUCCAUAUUCACUAGAAAAAGAAUGUGUGUUCAAAUAAUGUUGGAUAUAGUGUUAUGCAAAUGCCACUAAAUCAAGAUAAAUCUUUUGCACUCUUGUUUUUUGCCUGCUUGUUCUAACAAUAAGUGAGAAAGAAGUGUUAAUAUCUCCAAUUGUGAUUGUAAUUUGACUGUUAUCUUUUAGUUUGGUCAGUUUUUGCCUGUUGAAAUUCUGUUAUUAAAACAUAAACAUUUAAGAUAUUUAUAUCUUCCCAAGAGAGAUGCUAAAGAAAAGUGUAAAAAACCAAAGACAUUCUUAUGUACAUCAGAAUAUAUGGACAAAAACUUUCACAGCAACAUCAUUAUUGCAAGUAACUGAAAGCAAUACAAAGGCACAUCAACAAAAGAUUGGACAGAUAAAUUGUUCCUUCAAUGGCAAUGAAAAUGGAUGUUACAGAGAUACAUGGAUACAUGGAAUACCCUGAGUGAAUCUUACAUUUAUUUUGCAGAAGAUAUCAAACCAAACAGAGCACAUAUUAUUCCAUUCAUGUAAAGGUCAGUAACAGCCACAUAUAAACUAUAUUUUGGAGAUUCAUACACAAUAGAAAAAACUAUUUAAAAAGUCAGGUAAUACUGAUUUUAAAAAUCAGGAUGUUGAAUUCAUCUGGGUGUUGAGGGAGGAGCACAUUGUGACCCAGACAGAGCACUCAGGACUCUGAGCACACUAAUACUCUGUAUUGCCUUCAGUGGUAGUUACAUCAGUAUCAACUUAAGAAAAAUUUAUUAAAAUCUACAUAAAUAAUAAAUAAUUUUCUAUAUGUAUGUUAUAUUUCCCAAUGCUAUGAAAUGAAUUGUGUCUCCCCAAAAUGUAUGUGUUGAAGUCCUAGCCCCCAGCACCUCAGAAUGUGACCGCAUUUGGAGAUAGAACCCUUUUUUUUUAUUUUUGAGACACAGUUGCCCAGACUAGAGUGUAGUGGCGUGAUCUCGGCUCACUGACCUCUGCCUCCUGGCUCAAACAAUUCUCAUGCCUCAGCCUCCUGAGGAGCUGGGAUUACAGGUGUGUGCCACCGCAUAUGGCUAAUUUUUGUAUUUUUAGUAGAAAUAGUAGACGCCAUGCAUAAAUACCAAUUCUCUCCAAAUUGAUCUAUUUCUCAAUCUACAAAUAUUCUACUGGUGAUCUCAUCCAAGGUUGUGGCUGCAAGUACACCACUACAAGCCAAAAAAUUAUGUGUAUAUCUCCAUCUCAGGCUUGUCUUCCAAAC